UACGGAGGGAGCAAGCGUUACUCGGAAUUAUUGGGCGUAAAGGGCGCGUAGGCGAUCUGACAAGUCUGGUGUGAAAGCCCACAUGUUAACUGUGGAAGUGCAUUAGAAACUGUUGGAUUUGAGUUCAGGAGAGGAAGGCAGAAUUCCCGGUGUAGCGGUGAAAUGCGUAGAGAUCGGGAGGAAUACCAGUGGCGAAGGCGGCAUCCUGGACCGGCAUUGACGCUGAGGCGCGAAAGCCAGGGGAGCAAACGGG
RNAcentral lists this ribosomal RNA (253 nucleotides) under uncultured bacterium. RNAcentral describes it as "partial 16S ribosomal RNA". It matches the Rfam family "Bacterial small subunit ribosomal RNA", at positions 524 to 776 of the family's 1533-position model. The record is from RNAcentral.